Molecule: ribosomal RNA, 429 nt
Filed under: Pseudomonadota bacterium
Lineage: Bacteria; Pseudomonadati; Pseudomonadota
Description: Proteobacteria bacterium partial 16S ribosomal RNA
Rfam family: Bacterial small subunit ribosomal RNA
Source: RNAcentral
UGGGGAAUAUUGGACAAUGGGCGAAAGCCUGAUCCAGCCAUGCCGCGUGUGUGAAGAAGGUCUUCGGAUUGUAAAGCACUUUAAGUUGGGAGGAAGGGCAGUAAGCGAAUACCUUGCUGUUUUUACGUUACCGACAGAAUAAGCACCGGCUAACUCUGUGCCAGCAGCCGCGGUAAUACAGAGGGUGCAAGCGUUAAUCGGAAUUACUGGGCGUAAAGCGCGCGUAGGUGGUUCGUUAAGUUGAAUGUGAAAGCCCCGGGCUCAACCUGGGAACUGCAUCCAAAACUGGCGAGCUAGAGUAGGGCAGAGGGUGGUGGAAUUUCCUGUGUAGCGGUGAAAUGCGUAGAUAUAGGAAGGAACACCAGUGGCGAAGGCGACCACCUGGGCUCAUACUGACACUGAGGUGCGAAAGCGUGGGGAGCAAACAGG